GUCUGGGUCCUGCGCAAUAAGAGUCUGUGAACCUCGUCAGGUCCGGAAGGAAGCAGCGAUAAGCGGAGCCUCUUAUGUGCCGCAGACAAGCCUUUUCCGU
Molecule: signal recognition particle RNA, 100 nt
Filed under: Clostridiales bacterium
Lineage: Bacteria; Bacillati; Bacillota; Clostridia; Eubacteriales
Description: signal recognition particle sRNA small type
Rfam family: Bacterial small signal recognition particle RNA
About the family: The signal recognition particle (SRP) is a universally conserved ribonucleoprotein involved in the co-translational targeting of proteins to membranes.
Source: RNAcentral